Molecule: small RNA, 1051 nt
Filed under: uncultured Pelagibacterales bacterium
Lineage: Bacteria; Pseudomonadati; Pseudomonadota; Alphaproteobacteria; Candidatus Pelagibacterales
Description: bacterial SSU rRNA
Rfam family: Bacterial small subunit ribosomal RNA (bases 1-658)
Source: RNAcentral
CACCGCCUGGGGAGUACGACCGCAAGGUUAAAACUCAAAUGAAUUGACGGGGACCCGCACAAGUAGUGGAGCAUGUGGUUUAAUUCGAAGAUACGCGCAGAACCUUACCAACACUUGACAUGUUCGUCGCGACUUUAAGAGAUUAAAGUUUUCGGUUCGGCCGGACGAAACACAGGUGCUGCAUGGCUGUCGUCAGCUCGUGUCGUGAGAUGUUGGGUUAAGUCCCGCAACGAGCGCAACCCUCACUUUUAGUUGCCAUCAUUAAGUUGGGCACUCUGAAAGAACUGCCAGUGAUAAGCUGGAGGAAGGUGGGGAUGACGUCAAGUCCUCAUGGCCCUUACGUGUUGGGCUACACACGUGCUACAAUGGUAUCUACAACAGGAAGCAAGACUGCGAAGUUAAGCAAAUCCUUAAAAGAUACCUCAGUUCGGAUUGCACUCUGCAACUCGAGUGCAUGAAGCUGGAAUUACUAGUAAUCGUGGAUCAGCGUGCCACGGUGAAUGCGUUCCCGGGUCUUGUACACACCGCCCGUCACACCAUGGGAGUUGGUUCUACCUUAAGGCAAGGUUUCAAACCCUUGACCACGGUAUAGUCAGCGACUGGGGUGAAGUCGUAACAAGGUAGCCGUAGGGGAACCUGCGGCUGGAUUACCUCCUUUCUAAGGAUGAAUGAAAGUAAAAUUUCAUUCUAAAUAAUAUACAUCGGUAAUGUUGACCGUCCUCAUUUCUCUUCUUAAAAGUAGUGUUUCUCUUGCAUGGGGGCCGGUAGCUCAGUUGGUUAGAGCACACCCUUGAUAAGGGUGGGGUCGAAAGUUCGAGUCUUUCUCGGCCCACCAAAGAAAGAUCAUGGGGGAUUAGCUCAGCUGGGAGAGCGCCUGAUUUGCAUUCAGGAGGUCAGCGGUUCGAUCCCGCUAUCCUCCACCAAAAACACUUAGUUAUAAAAAAUUGUAAAUAAAAAUAAUAAUUAAUAUCAAUAUCUAUAUCCGAACAUUAGUAAUGUUAUUAGCUAAUGUUCAAAAUAAAAAUUUGAUUCAACACAGAAUUUUUUUCUG